RNAcentral lists this long non-coding RNA (756 nucleotides) under Phasianus colchicus (ring-necked pheasant). Its description in RNAcentral is "lncRNA (ENSPCLG00000003170.1)". Lineage: Eukaryota; Metazoa; Chordata; Aves; Galliformes; Phasianidae. The record is from RNAcentral.
UAGGAAGUGCAGUUGAAUUCUGUUUUCAAGAAUUUAUCCAUGAAUGUUGAUUUAAGAUUUACAUUGUCUUUAUCCUGCAUCAGACAUAUUAGGAAACGCCAGACACGAGGAGAGAAAUUGCUGAACAUAGCCUGAUCUAGCUGUGAAUGUCCCUGUUAAUUGCAAGCGAGUUGGACUAGAUGACCUUUAAAGGUCCCUUCCAACUCUAAGGAUUCUAUGAUUCCUUAACAAAUAACAGAGUGAGCAGCUGACAAACUUUGCAGAAUAACACCAUGAGAAAUGGCUGGAUUUCAGAUUGUUACGAGGAGCUACGUGAGAGGAGGCCAGGGUCCACAGUUGGCUGCGUCUCAUGUGAGGGAGUUCCAGUUUGGAGGGAAGCACAGUCCCGCACAAGUAACUCAGGAGCAUAUCAACACCUGGAAUCUCUGGUCUGGUUUCACAGCUGCAAAAGGAUAACUGCACGUGCAGGCUGCUGCUCUUGAUUGUAUUGGAGACUGGAGCUAACAUGAUUUCACAAAAUCAUAGAGCCCUUGUCCCCUUCGUGCUCUCUGUUCCUGUGGAAAGCUCAGCACCUCCAUUUUGUAACAAACAUUGAGCAGAGAAAUGUACUUUAAGUUCAGUCAUGACUUUCCCUGCAAUCUAAUGUGCAAUCACUGCAAACAAAAGAGGAUGGGGUAGAAGAACAGCAUUCAUUGAUAGCCAAUGACAAAUGGUGAUGGUAAUAAAACUGGAAGCAACUAAUGAAGGUGCUGUUUG